This 283-nucleotide ribosomal RNA is filed under the name uncultured bacterium. RNAcentral describes it as "partial 16S ribosomal RNA". It matches the Rfam family "Bacterial small subunit ribosomal RNA", at positions 337 to 636 of the family's 1533-position model. The record is from RNAcentral.
GCCUACGGGAGGCAGCAGUGGGGAAUAUUGCACAAUGGGGGAAACCCUGAUGCAGCAACGCCGCGUGAGUGAAGAAGGUUUUCGGAUUGUAAAGCUCUGUUAGCAGGGAAGAGGAAGGACGGUACCUGCAGAGGAAGCCACGGCUAACUACGUGCCAGCAGCCGCGGUAAUACGUAGGUGGCAAGCGUUGUUCGGAAUAACUGGGCGUAAAGGGCGUGUAGGCGGGCAUGCAAGCCAGAAGUGAAAACUGGGGGCUUAACCCCCAAACUGCUUUUGGAACUGC